UACGAAGGGGGCUAGCGUUGUUCGGAAUCACUGGGCGUAAAGGGCGCGUAGGCGGCCGAUCAAGUCGGGGGUGAAAGCCUGUGGCUCAACCACAGAAUUGCCUUCGAUACUGUUUGGCUUGAGACCGGAAGAGGUAAGUGGAACUGCGAGUGUAGAGGUGAAAUUCGUAGAUAUUCGCAAGAACACCAGUGGCGAAGGCGGCUUACUGGUCCGGUUCUGACGCUGAGGAGCGAAAGCGUGGGGAGCGAACAGG
RNAcentral lists this ribosomal RNA (253 nucleotides) under uncultured bacterium. Its description in RNAcentral is "partial 16S ribosomal RNA". It matches the Rfam family "Bacterial small subunit ribosomal RNA", at positions 524 to 776 of the family's 1533-position model. The record is from RNAcentral.